Zonotrichia albicollis (white-throated sparrow) is the source of this 1453-nucleotide long non-coding RNA. RefSeq lists it as uncharacterized. The record is from RefSeq and is a predicted model, not a curated record. NCBI's taxonomy places the organism in Eukaryota, Metazoa, Chordata, Aves, Passeriformes, Passerellidae.
CCGGGCGGAGGCUGGCGGCGGGGUAGGCCCGAGGGUCCGUGCCCCGGUGCCCCUCCCUGGAGUCCGGGGGAGCGGGAGAGCCGCCCCUUCCCCAUUUCUCCGCGCGAGUCACUCUGGCCGUCCCCGGCGCACCCCCGGUCGGUGCGGUGAGUGAGGCGGGGGUGACCGCGUGCCUGCAGCAUUGAGGGAGCCCUGCCCUGUGAAGGAUGCGGCAGGCGCGCUCUGACACGGGUCACCCCCAGAAACUCCCCAGCCCUUGGCCGUAAGGUAUCUGAGGGGGACGCUCCAUCUUGUCCCCAUCCCUGCUCGGUGCCGCCCAGCCCCGGGCUUUGCUCCCCGGGGCUGCCUCGGGCCACUCUUACUACUCCUGGAUCUGAGGGGUGCCAGCACCCUGACCCCAGGCGGUUUGCAGACAGACACCGCCUCCCCUGAGGUUUUGCUGCUUUUUACUAGUUAAUUACUUUUCUUUUAAGAAAAACGGCCCGCUGCGAUAAUCAUCUCUGAUCUCUAGAUAAUUUCCUACGUGCUCUAAGGGGCCGUUUCCUGCCUCUUCGUAGCCCUGUUCCCAGAUAACGGGGUCAAAGCCCGGCGUGGCCCAGGCGGGAGGGACGAUGGUGUGGCAGCCGCCGAAGAGGAAGGAAGCUCCGGAAAGGACUCAGCAGGGCCCGGGGGCAGCGCUUGGCACACGGGCUGGCAACGUGAAAUGAAGCAGCGCUUGAUAGAAAAAAAAAUCCAGUUCAAAUGAAAAAUAGGUUUGAGAUGUCUGUCUUGAAGCGCUUAACUGGACUGUUGUGCAGUGUUAUUGCAGCUUUGCUGUCUUUAUUUCAUGCUCUUUUCCAAAAGUUCAGUCGUUACUCAGUCAUUUUUUUGCUCUUUGUUCCUCAUCCUGCGUUGGCAGCCAGUGCCAGCUGAGGUGUCUGGAUUGGAACAUAUGGGCUCUGUCUCUGCAGGCAUUUAGCAGAGUUCAAAUCAUCUAAAAUGGAAGACUUCUCCAGUGUCGUGUUUUAGACAAAACCAUCCAGGAAAAGUCUCAUCAUCAAGAUGAAAGGAUCUUAAAGCAGUCCCUAAAUCCAUGGGCAGGUAUCAUUUUACCAGCUGCUGACAUCCAGCCAUCUCCUGGGUGGAAAACAACAGCUGUUAGUCAUGUACAGCAGAACAGUGACCUAGAGAUGAAUAAUUGCAUCUGAAAAGUCACAUUUGUGCAAAAAAAUUUCAUCCAUUACUAGGAAAUCUUACUUGGUAGCUAUAGCUCUGAUCCAUUCCUCCUGGUUUAAGUGUUUGUGUCUGCCAAUAAGAGUCAGUUUUAAACACCUGUAGACAGGCUACAAUACAAAAUGAAGGUUAUGAUGUUUUCUUGUGUGAUUUGAACAGAUCUGACUUGCUUUCUGUUUGACCAUGGCCAAAAUACAGAUUAAAAGAUAGCAACUGGACUUGCAAUAAUAUGCUAAAUAAU